Molecule: long non-coding RNA, 307 nt
Organism: Fukomys damarensis (Damara mole-rat)
Lineage: Eukaryota; Metazoa; Chordata; Mammalia; Rodentia; Bathyergidae
Exons: 3
Source: RefSeq, a predicted model, not a curated record
AGGAAAGAGCCUCACCCUGAAUGAGCACCCCUGCCAGCAGAGUAGUCUAUGGAGCAGGCAGGGCCCACCACCCACGCUGUCCUGAAGGUGGCCCCGUGAACUCCCUCCCGCCCUCGGCACCACCUCCUGGACUCCAGAGGGUCACUCCCUACCCCAGAUGAGACUCUGGCAGGAGGUGGCUACAGCCUCAAGACAGCAUGGCUCCUCCAGGCCAGCCCUGCAGCCACAUGAGACCACCCCUGUACCGGACCACCACACUUGGAGGGAGGAAACACAUGGACCCCAGCACCUGGCAGCAGCUCACCAG